UCUUACCGGGACCGACAGCAUAUGAAGGCCAGGCUGAAGACUUUGCCGGAUUAGCUGAGAGGUGGUGCAUGGCCGUCGUCAGUUCGUACUGUGAAGCAUCCUGUUAAGUCAGGCAACGAGCGAGACCCACGCCCACAGUUGCCGGCGUACUCUCCGGAGUGACGGGUACACUGUGGGGACCGCCGCUGCUAAAGCGGAGGAAGGAAUGGGCAACGGUAGGUCAGUAUGCCCCGAAUAUCCCGGGCUACACGCGAGCUACAAUGGUUGGUACAAUGGGUAUCUACCCCGAAAGGGGACGGGAAUCUCCUAAAACCAAUCUUAGUUCGGAUUGAGGGCUGCAACUCGCCCUCAUGAAGCUGGAAUCCGUAGUAAUCGCGUUUCAACAGAACGCGGUGAAUACGUCCCUGCUCCUU
This 413-nucleotide ribosomal RNA is filed under the name uncultured Methanosaeta sp. RNAcentral describes it as "bacterial SSU rRNA". It matches the Rfam family "Archaeal small subunit ribosomal RNA", at positions 925 to 1338 of the family's 1478-position model. The record is from RNAcentral. Lineage: Archaea; Methanobacteriati; Methanobacteriota; Methanomicrobia; Methanotrichales; Methanotrichaceae.